This 394-nucleotide ribosomal RNA is filed under the name uncultured bacterium. RNAcentral describes it as "partial 16S ribosomal RNA". It matches the Rfam family "Bacterial small subunit ribosomal RNA", at positions 523 to 918 of the family's 1533-position model. The record is from RNAcentral.
AUACGUAGGGGGCGAGCGUUGUCCGGAAUUACUGGGCGUAAAGGGCGCGCAGGCGGAUAUUUAAGUCAGCUGUAAAAGGCAUGAGCUCAACUCAUGUAUGCGGUUGAAACUGGGUAUCUAGAGUGCUGGAGAGGUAGGCGGAAUUCCCGGUGUAGCGGUGAAAGGCGUAGAUAUCGGGAAGAACACCAGUGGCGAAGGCGGCUUACGGGCCUGAAACUGACGCUGAGGCGGGAAAGCCAGGGGAGCGAACGGGAGUAGAGCCCCCGUUAGUCCUGGCCGUAAACGAUGAAUGCUAGGUGUGGGUGUCGAGAGGCAUCCGUGCCGGAGUUAACGCGAUAAGCAUUCCGCCUGGGGAGUACGAUCGCAAGAUUGAAACUCAAAUGAAUUGGCGGGG